Molecule: transfer RNA, 73 nt
Filed under: Treponema sp.
Lineage: Bacteria; Pseudomonadati; Spirochaetota; Spirochaetia; Treponematales; Treponemataceae
Also listed under: 1 other name
Description: tRNA-Phe
Rfam family: tRNA
About the family: Transfer RNA (tRNA) molecules are approximately 80 nucleotides in length. Their secondary structure includes four short double-helical elements and three loops (D, anti-codon, and T loops).
Source: RNAcentral
GCCGCUGUAGCUCAGUUGGUAGAGCAAAGGACUGAAAAUCCUUGUGUGGAGGGUUCGAUUCCCUCUGGCGGCA